ACUCGUGCCACUAACGGUAGUGGGGGUGAGGCAAAAAGUGGCGAUGGAUGACUUCCCCCACUCUUGCGCUUCAUUAGUCCUCUCUGUCCCUCUAUAUAAUCGUCGCUCUGUCGCUCUAUAAUCGUCGCUCUGUCGCUCUUAUAUCGAACUUUCACACAAUGCG
Molecule: long non-coding RNA, 163 nt
Organism: Trachymyrmex cornetzi
Lineage: Eukaryota; Metazoa; Arthropoda; Insecta; Hymenoptera; Formicidae
Exons: 3
Source: RefSeq, a predicted model, not a curated record